Molecule: ribosomal RNA, 1359 nt
Filed under: Triticum aestivum (bread wheat)
Lineage: Eukaryota; Viridiplantae; Streptophyta; Magnoliopsida; Poales; Poaceae
Description: partial small subunit ribosomal RNA
Source: RNAcentral
AUGGACAUGCUUGGGAAUGCAGCCUCGGUGGCUCAACUCGUCGGGACUGUGGGCAGGCUCAUCUCCAAGAUCAUUGAUGCGGCGAGGACGGCGCGCCAGAACAAGCGGGAGUGCCUGUACCUCACGGUCCGCCUGUCCAUCAUCGGCGAGGUGCUGCCUCGCCUGCCGCAGGACGCCAAGGUGAAGCGGUCGCUCACGGAGCUGGGCAAGACGCUGGGCGAGGCGCACGAGCUGGUCCUCGACUGCCAGAACUGGAGCACCGCCCGGCAGCUCAUCGGGGCCCGCCGCCACGCCGACAGCUUGAAGGAGGUCAACGGCAGGAUCGACUCCCACAUCAACCUCCUCAACUUGGUCUUUAACACCUCCGGCCGCUUCGACCAAACCCGCCCUCCCAACCACACGGCGACGGUGCCGUCGCCGGGCUCCUCCUCGGGUCCUGCCGCCCCCGUGAGGCUCACGUGGGCGCAAAUUGCAGCGGCGACCGAUUACUUUGCCGACGAACUCAGCCGGCGCAGCUCACAGGUGUUGUACAAGGGCCGUCUCCGCAACGGCCGGGAGGUGGCCGUGAAGGUUCUUAUCAAGAACGGGCGGCAGGACGUGGAGGGCGCGGUCGUGACGGAGGUCGAGAUCCUCUCCCCCCUCCGCCACCCACACAUCGUGCGACUCGUCGGCUGGUGCUCCGAGGAGGAGGACCACAUCGUCGUCUACCUCCACGAGCAUACGAGCAACGGCACGCUCAGAGACCACCUGCUGCGCCUGCGCGUGCGCGUGCGCGUUCGAGCGCGCCUGAGGGGCCGCUCUAGCUUUAGGUCGUCGCCGGUGAGGUCGACCUGGAAGAUGCGCGUCGAGGUGCUGCUGGGCGCAUCGCGGGCCAUGGAGCACUUGCACCGUUUCGGGGUUAUCCACCGCAACGUGACCUCGUUCAACAUCCUGCUGGACGGCAGCUGGGCGCCGCGCCUGUCCGGCUUCGGCCAAGCGAUCUUGCUGGCGGCGGCCGGAGACCAGGUCGACACUGAGGUCGUCGGCACUCCUGGUUACGUCGACCCGGAGUACGGCCGCACUGGGCGUGUGAGCGCAGCGAGCGACGUGUACAGUUUCGGGGUGGUGAUACUAGAGACGCUGACGGGGGAGGAUGCCGCCACCAUGCAGAUGGACUCGGUGCUCCUGGCCAUACGCAACAGGAAGCUACGGGAUGUGCUGGUCCGCCGCCCUGCGGCGACGCCGCGGCAGCUGGAGGCGCUGGAGCUCGUGGCGCACACGGCGGAGUGCUGCCUGUUUCCACAUGGGAACGACCGGCCUGCCAUGUCGAACGUUGUGACCAACCUCGAGAGGGCGCUCACGAUCAUAAAUACGUACUAA